RNAcentral lists this ribosomal RNA (450 nucleotides) under uncultured bacterium. RNAcentral's name for it is "partial 16S ribosomal RNA". It matches the Rfam family "Bacterial small subunit ribosomal RNA", at positions 354 to 796 of the family's 1533-position model. The record is from RNAcentral.
GUGGGGAAUUUUGGACAAUGGGCGCAAGCCUGAUCCAGCAAUGCCGCGUGCAGGAAGAAGGCCUUCGGGUUGUAAACUGCUUUUGUACGGAACGAAACGGUCCGGGUUAAUACCCUGGGCUAAUGACGGUACCGUAAGAAUAAGCACCGGCUAACUACGUGCCAGCAGCCGCGGUAAUACGUAGGGUGCAAGCGUUAAUCGGAAUUACUGGGCGUAAAGCGUGCGCAGGCGGUUUUGUAAGACAGGCGUGAAAUCCCCGGGCUAAACCUGGGAAUUGCGCUUGGGACUGACAGGCUGGCGUGCGGCAGAGGGGGAUGGAAUUCCGCGUGUAGCAGUGAAAUGCGUAGAUAUGCGGAGGAACACCGAUGGCGAAGGCAAUCCCCUGGGCCUGCACUGACGCUCAUGCACGAAAGCGUGGGGAGCAAACAGGAUUAGAAACCCGUGUAGUCC